GACCUCGGAUCAGGUAGGAAUACCCGCUGAACUUAAGCAUAUCAAUAAGCGGAGGAAAAGAAACCAACAGGGAUUGCCUCAGUAACGGCGAGUGAAGCGGCAAAAGCUCAAAUUUGAAAUCUGACCCUUCGGGUCCGAGUUGUAAUUUGCAGAGGAUGUUUCGGGUAAGAUUUAGGUCUAAGUUCCUUGGAACAGGACGUCAUAGAGGGUGAGAAUCCCGUACGUGACCGCUGAUCGCACCCAUGUGAAACUCCUUCGACGAGUCGAGUUGUUUGGGAAUGCAGCUCAAAAUGGGUGGUAAAUUUCAUCUAAAGCUAAAUAUUGGCCAGAGACCGAUAGCGCACAAGUAGAGUGAUCGAAAGAUGAAAAGCACUUUGAAAAGAGAGUUAAACAGUAUGUGAAAUUGUUGAAAGGGAAGCGC
RNAcentral lists this ribosomal RNA (421 nucleotides) under uncultured fungus. RNAcentral describes it as "eukaryotic LSU rRNA". It matches the Rfam family "Eukaryotic large subunit ribosomal RNA", at positions 1 to 422 of the family's 3401-position model. The record is from RNAcentral. Lineage: Eukaryota; Fungi.